This 402-nucleotide ribosomal RNA is filed under the name uncultured bacterium. RNAcentral's name for it is "bacterial SSU rRNA". It matches the Rfam family "Bacterial small subunit ribosomal RNA", at positions 355 to 774 of the family's 1533-position model. The record is from RNAcentral.
UGGGGAAUCUUGCACAAUGGGGGCAACCCUGAUGCAGCGACGCCGCGUGAGCGAUGAAGCCCUUCGGGGCGUAAAACUCUUUCGACCGGAACGAUAAUGACGGUACCGGGAGAAGAAGCUGCGGCUAACUACGUGCCAGCAGCCGCGGUAAUACGUAGGCAGCAAGCGUUGUUCGGAGUUACUGGGCGUAAAGAGUGCGUAGGCGGUUUUCUAAGUUCGGUGUGAAAUCUCCCGGCUUAACUGGGAGGGUGCGCCGAAGACUGGGAAGCUGGAGUGUGGGAAAGGCAGGCGGAAUUCCUGGUGUAGCGGUGAAAUGCGUAGAUAUCAGGAGGAACACCUGCGGUGUAGACGGCUUGCUAGACCAUAACUGACGCUGAGGCACGAAAGCGUGGGUAGCAAACA